CCCGGUGGCCUGAGCGGAGGAGUCACACCCGUUCUCAUCCCGAACACGGUAGUUAAGCCCUCCAGCGCCGAUGGUACUGCACUGGCAACGGUGUGGAAGAGUAGGUCGUUGCCGGGA
This 117-nucleotide ribosomal RNA is filed under the name Acidobacteriota bacterium. The record is from RNAcentral. Lineage: Bacteria; Pseudomonadati; Acidobacteriota.